This 889-nucleotide ribosomal RNA is filed under the name Parascutellinia carneosanguinea. Its description in RNAcentral is "eukaryotic LSU rRNA". It matches the Rfam family "Eukaryotic large subunit ribosomal RNA", at positions 66 to 964 of the family's 3401-position model. The record is from RNAcentral. Lineage: Eukaryota; Fungi; Ascomycota; Pezizomycetes; Pezizales; Pyronemataceae.
CAACAGGGAUUGCCCCAGUAACUGCGAGUGAAGCGGCAAAAGCUCAAAUUUGAAAUCUGGCGCCUUUGGCGUCCGAGUUGUAAUUUGGAGAGACAUCUUCGGGGAUGGCAUACUGUCCUAAGUUCCUUGGAACAGGACGUCACAGAGGGUGAGAAUCCCGUGCCUGGAUGGUUGUCCAUCCCCAUUGUGAAGGGUCUUCGACGAGUCGAGUUGUUUGGGAAUGCAGCUCAAAAUGGGUGGUAAACGUCAUCUAAAGCUAAAUAUUGGCGAGAGACCGAUAGCGCACAAGUAGAGUGAUCGAAAGAUGAAAAGCACUUUGAAAAGAGAGUAAAAUAGUACGUGAAAUUGUUGAAAGGGAAGCGCUUGAGACCAGACACGGUCCGUGGUAAUCGCCCGCGCUUCGGUGCAGGUGCUCUUACCAUGACCGGUGCCAGCAUCGGUUCUGGCGGUGGGAUAAAAGGCAGGGGAAUGUAGCUUCCUCACUGGGAGUGUUAGAGCCCCUGUCACAAUGCCACCAGCCGGGACCGAGGACUGCGCUUCAGCUAGGAUGUUGGCGUAAUGGUCUUAAGCGACCCGUCUUGAAACACGGACCAAGGAGUCUAACAUCUAUGCGAGUGUUCGGGUGGAAAACCCUUGCGCGUAAUGAAAGUGAACGGAGGUGGGAACCCCGAAAGGGAGUGCACCAUCGACCGAUCCUGAUGUCUUCGGAAGGAUUUGAGUAAGAGCAUAGCUGUUGGGACCCGAAAGAUGGUGAACUAUGCCUGAAUAGGGUGAAGCCAGAGGAAACUCUGGUGGAGGCUCGCAGCGGUUCUGACGUGCAAAUCGAUCGUCAAAUUUGGGUAUAGGGGCGAAAGACUAAUCGAACCAUCUAGUAGCUGGUUCCUGCCGA